UAAGUUUCAAUUUUUUCAUGUGUAAAAAGGGCAUAAUUUACAUAAAGCAUCUAGAAUAGUCCUGGGUACAUAAUAGGUACUCAGUAAAUGGAAGCCAUUUUUAUUUUAUCCCAAAUUUCAGGUUGUUAGUGUCAACAAAUAAAUGAACUUUACUAUGAUGAGCUAUUGAAAUUUUACAGUUUAUCUGCCGACGGCUUAGCCCAACCUAUACUGACCAACACAAAUGGCUUAGAUAUGGCCUUGUCAUGUUCACCCAUCUAAGGCAACCAGUUGAGAUCUGCUUACUCAGUUCAUUUUAUUUGUUUCUCUUUUAAAUUCCAAGUCUUUAAUGUGACCUUUGGAGGAUUCUAGUUGGCAAAAGGUCCAAGUUUUCCCACAGGCUGACUGUCUGCUGUGCUUGGGCCCAGUUCCUACAUAUGGACUGGGACAAUAAUACUUGAAACUGAUCCUUCAAGGAGGCCCUCUCUUUCCCUCCCCCUUUUCCUCAGCUCUCUGUAAAGCAUCAAGAAUAAACAAGAGCACAUGUGGCAGGAGCAUUCCUCUCUCUAUGGCUGUGUUCCAACAGAUGGGACACAAGAGAUUGGGGAAGAGAGGCAUCUAGAGGUAUCUACAGCCACCAGCCCUCUAGGGACAAAGCGAGAACCUCAGACUCAAGUCUCCAACAUUCCAGUCUGUGCCUUCUUCAUGUUCCUGGGCAGCUUUGUUCAAGCAUCUAUAAUGGCUUCCUAUUUCUAACUGUACCAAAUUAA
Panthera uncia (snow leopard) is the source of this 749-nucleotide long non-coding RNA. RefSeq lists it as uncharacterized. The record is from RefSeq and is a predicted model, not a curated record. The transcript has 2 exons. Lineage: Eukaryota; Metazoa; Chordata; Mammalia; Carnivora; Felidae.